UUCUGCUACAUCUCAAUACGUAAGUUUUGGUCGUCACCUCUUUCCACCGAUGGCCAACAUGGGCCCAUCCUUGAUUCGUCUCUCCCGCAAACCUCGCCUCCUCCCGGGAAAAUAGCGUCAUCAAAACCGUCUCCUCAGUCAAUCCACCUAGCACAGCGCCCGCCGCCCCUCCCAUCGGCACACCUCCCGUGGCCCCGGCUCCCUUGUCAACGCUCCGCAGUCGCGUAAUCGACGCGGAGGCAGACGCCAGCGUGAGGAAGACGAGUUGGGCUCCCCGCCCACGACCACCCCGAUUGCGGCUGAGGCGGGCGAGGAUCUGGCUCCGGAGGAGGAUGACGCACUCUGGUGUACACCUUCGUCCUUUGCCUCCGAGCGUUCCCACAGUUCAAGGGGGAAGUCAUGGAGCUCGAGGCUGCCAAUCCACCACCGCGCCCGUCCAGGCGGAUGACCUCCUCGAUGGAAACUGGAUCCUCAUGAGGGCGACGAGCUCGCCGUGGAUAGCCGCACAGGAGGUUGGAGAGAAGCUCGCCUGUGGAGGAGGAUGUCGACAAGGACGGCGGGGAGGGGCGGUGCGCAGAAGAGCAGCAAGGACGAGUAUCAAGGUUUGGAUCCGGCGCUACGGCCUGGCAUACGCUGUGCUCUUCUUCGUCCAUGGUCAGCUGUGGAGAGAGAGGGAAGGAGUGGGGAGUCAAGACGAUGGGCAUGAUAGGAUAAGGAGAAAGGAGGACAGCUUCACGGGAGGCAGGCAAGCUGUGCUGUGCACACUUUGGGUCCUUUAGGGAGAAGAAGGUGUACAUGACAAGGCUGUUUUUGCAAUAGUGCAGCUAGCACAAAUAUCCAGGGACCGAUGGCCAGGAUAUGCCUGGGACGCCCACGCCGAUGUAGAAUCGCAUCGUCGGGUGGAAAGGUGUGCCAAUUGUAGAUAUGUCUGCAUCCAGAUGCAUUGGGUCAGGCAGCGAAGAAUUCCCAGGGAUGGAUGGACUACAAGAUCUUUAAAAGGUGCUACAGUUUGUGGGAGGCAAAUGUUGGUGUUAGGGAACUUUAGAAGGAAAUUUUCAUGAAGGAAGCAACAUUCCAGAAGUGGACAUCUCAGCCGAAAGAGUUCAACUCCAAUAUUUGAAUGCAACGUGCCAGAAGAAGAAACAAAUCGGGAUAGCCCGACCAUGAAAGGAAAAUAAAUAGUAAGAAGGGAAUGGUUCAUCGGACAUGGACUUCUUCAGUGAAUGUGGUGAUGCUACCAGAUUGAGAAUUUGGCAAAUCAUUGGCAAAGCGAGUUUGAGUGUCAAGUUUAUUCAUCAAUUGACCAACAUACUGGUAAUAGGGUGGAAAUCAGAAAAUACAAAAUUACUUUGAGCACUGAUCUGAUGUUGCAUGGAUCCUCUGUGAGAUCAGAUUAUUCAGGUUGUUGAGACAUCCUGAUAUAGUUGAGGUCAGACAUAUAAUGCUAUUUCCAUCGAGGAGACUUCCAAUAAUAUUUGUGUUGUAUUUGAGCUGAUGAUGGGUGCAGACCUCCACCAAGUCACCUUGGCCAAUAAUGAUGUAACCAAAGAGCCCAUCAAUUCUCUCUAUCUGAUAAUUCGCGCACUGAAAGUUUUUCAUACUGAAAUAAAAGAAGAUAACAAUGGGACGAUGUGACCAGCGCUGUGCAACCAUGGAACGCCUGGUUGCCAACGUCGCGGAUCCGGUGAAGUCAAGGUCUGCCACUCCGCGUCCGUUGGCGCCGAGGGCUGGGCCGCCACCUUGCUGUGAGCCUCGCUGCCUCGUACUGUUAGACCUCUGAAAUUAACUCUACACUGCAAGCAUUGGCAUCUCGUCCAUAUGCCAAAUAAUCUCUGAUGUGUCUGCUACGAUGUUGACUACAAAAGGGGAAGUUGAUGAUACCUCUGAUUUUGGCAUACGGACCUGAACCAGCUGGCUGCUUCUCAGGUAAUUAAACAACAAGCUAUUCUCCAGUUCAGUUCAAGAAAGCCUAAGGUAUGUAAGCGGAACUAUCUCUACAACUAACUUUACAUGUUUUCUUGCUUGACGAAGAUGCCACAUCUUGAGGUAAGGUUGGUAUGAAUAUCCUGUAGAACACUUGAAAUGAAAAUAGGUUGAGCCUCAAUCGUUGCAGGUUCAAGAUUUCACACUGUUGACAACUUUGUAUGCUUCAAUGACCUUUUUUUGCAAUUGAUUCCGCUUAUGCAAGGUAAAGAUGCACUGGUGGUAAAUUUCACCUGUGUUCACUGGACCAAGAAAAUGAAUUCUUUUGGCAACAAAAUUUUCAGGUAAUUUGUGCAGUGCUACAUAUGUAUGUUUAGCACAGAGCUACUCGAAGCAAGUGCGCUUAUGUCUAUAAAUAAACAGAUGGUUUUUCUGCCAACUGAAUAGGCUUAUUUCCUAUCAACUUUAGUUCCAUUGUUCUACUUGCAGCUUGAAACUUACGUUGGUAAUGGUGGAGCAAGAAAAAUCUACAACAAACAUCAUUACUAAUGAAAAGAUUGUGAAUAGUAUAGCAGAUCAUAAAUAAGAGUUAUCACCGUGCAGUGAUUGGCUCCAUCUUGAUUAGUCUCUUAAAUGAUAUUUGCAUAUUGAUCCUGGUAGUUUGGAGAGGAGUGACAAACAUAUCACUCCCUUUUGUAUUUAAAAAUCGCAUUAAGGUAGUUAGUUGAGGCAAACUGGUUAACCUCAGUAGCUAUAUGGGGGGAUUUUACAAUUUUCCAUUUUGUGUGUCACUGACAUGUGGCAAAUAAUAGACACUUCAAAGAAAAGUUUGGAAAAUCAUAAAAUAUCCCAGCUAGAUGUGAUUCUUGUAGCAGCAAACUAUAUUGCCAUUGUAUUUUCUUCAGCGACAUACAAGAAAGUUAAAUCAUAUUAUGUAACCCUGAGAUCGAGUAGCAUUGUGCAUUGAGGAUUUUCACCAUAUUAUGUAAACUGUGGACUUAAAUACAAAUCUGUCAGGGGUACCAACCAUAUAGUUGUUAUCUAGCUAUCAUCACACAAACAGAUUACGGGCCAUAUUGUUUUGUUCAAGCAUUCCCCUUCAAGUUAAAAAUGCUACACUACACACUACUCAAGAUGCACAUGAAGUUCUCAGAUCUAUAUGAACUAUUCAUAUUGUCUAUUACGAAGAUGUCAACAGAAUUCAGGUUUGUUUGUUUUACUAUUGCAUAAUAAGCUAUAUUUUCUCGUUGUAGAAAUGCUGGUUUUAUUGAACAAUUUGAACUUCUCACAGCACUGAAGUAAAUCUCUACUAUAUACUCCCUCCGUUCCUGAAUAUAAGCCAUAUAGUUUUUGAGAAAAAUUUCAAAAUAUAGGCUUUAGUGCGACACACCACUUGUAUGGAAUUUUUUUUAGGGAUUUGAUUAGAUAUUUUUUUUUAUCUUAUGCAAAGUCCUCUAUUUCUCAUGUCAAAUGUAUAGGGGUAAUCCCGCCCAAACCUGGUGUAGUUUUCUUUUAAUAUGCGUUCUUUAAUUUCCAUGUCAAAAACUAUACGGUUUAUAUUUAGGAACGGAGGGAGUAUAUUGAUGUGCUUAUGGAAGAUUCAGAAAACACCCCAGGUAGCAUGACAGCUAUAAGUUAGUACAAGGAAAACACCACAUGCUCUGGAUCAACCACAGUAGCUAUAAUGAUCCUUUCAUAUCUCUUGAGUGGACGAACUAAGAUUUCAUUACUGGUUCUACACGAACACUGUGCACCAUUAUCCAUUACCUCAUGACCCAGCUCAAGGAAGCAGAUCCGAGUAGAAAGUUGCGGACGCUGGGCUCCUAUUAUGUACCUCGCAAGCAGAGCGCCUCCACAAUGCUACGAUGCUCCCCUGAAGAACCACCGCAUGUACCUGCAAGUACGAUCAAUCAAACCCAAUAACCACUGACUGCGUACGCACAGAUUUGAGAAAAUAUUUGAACGACUUCAGAGUUCCCUUUCUGUACAUACCCUGAUGAAAAUACUUAAUGACUUCAUAUUUGUGAGGAAGCAGAACUCCUGUGUGUACCUUGCAGUAGCCGCCACAGUAAUCAUUAAGAUGAGAUGUCACCUUUCUUUAAAAAAUAGACAUAAGAUUUUCCUAGGUGGCCUCGCAAAUCCCACGCGCAUGUAUUUAUUACCACUUUCCUAAAAAGUUGCAUAUGUAUGACCCAUCGAUUUGGUUAGCAACCAAUCCAUCCGCAUCAUUCUCGAAUACCCAAAUAUUGCUCUACCUUCGAGCCAAUAAACUGGGCACGCAAACCACGACCUAUGCAAACAGCUACAACAGCGAAAAUUAGUGGAGCACGUCGACGUAUCGAUUUGGUUUCGGGUAAGUUUGAUGAGUCACUAAUGUUUACUGUCUAUAAUUAGCUACAGGCAAUGCGCAAUCAGGUUGGGAGCUCGGAAAUCUUACCGAGCUAGCUUCCUCGUUUGUGCAACGCGGGGAGGGGCAGCGGGAUGGUGACACCAUGGCGUGGCGGGAAGAGGUGGCGGCGGCCUGCAGGGGCUUCGCGUCGAUCUCCAUUGUGGCUCUAAGGAGGACCCGUCGCUGGGGGAAAUUGGAGGGGGCACGGUUGCUCUCGACUAUGGCAUGCCGCUGCGGCUGGCUAUGCAGCAUAUAGGAUGUGGCUCGUCGGUGGAGAAAGGCAGGAGAAGACAAGAGAGGAAGAGAGGUGAGAUGCGUGGUGACUGGUGUGAGAUUGGGAGCUACCUACUACUGUUCUGUGAGUGGUGUUGUUGUGUGAGUGGUACUACCGUGCUACUGCGAUUCUUUCCACGGUCGGACAUAGUGUUGUUUCAUCUUCAGUUUGUCUAAUUGUGAAUACUA
Molecule: long non-coding RNA, 4774 nt
Organism: Lolium perenne
Lineage: Eukaryota; Viridiplantae; Streptophyta; Magnoliopsida; Poales; Poaceae
Source: RefSeq, a predicted model, not a curated record